CUUACCGUGUACGGGGCCCUGGGUUCGAUCCACAGCAGUGCAGGGGCGUGCUGUGGCUGGCACCAAGGGAACUGCAGGAGUGGUUGGACUGGGCUUUGUUUUCUCCUGUCCUACCUGCGGCCGCGGCGCCCGGGGCGGCGGGCAGAAGGCAGAGCAGCCAGAGCAGGCGGCCGAGGCGCUGCCACCCGGCCAUGGCGGCUGGCGAUCCCCGUGCGGGAGGUGCUAGGGGUGCGGGAGGUGCGGGCUCGCUCGUCAGCUCCUGGAGCAGCUGUGUCGCCGCUGGGGCCCAAGAGUCCCCUAAC
This is a long non-coding RNA of Erinaceus europaeus (western European hedgehog), 302 nucleotides long. RefSeq lists it as uncharacterized. The record is from RefSeq and is a predicted model, not a curated record. Lineage: Eukaryota; Metazoa; Chordata; Mammalia; Eulipotyphla; Erinaceidae. The transcript has 3 exons.